RNAcentral lists this long non-coding RNA (1123 nucleotides) under Oryza sativa (Asian cultivated rice). RNAcentral's name for it is "long non-coding RNA (OSAT_LNC000029)". Lineage: Eukaryota; Viridiplantae; Streptophyta; Magnoliopsida; Poales; Poaceae. The record is from RNAcentral.
UCUGGGCCUUGACUGCACACGCUGACACGCACCACCACUACAGCAAAAGCGGCGGCGGCGCCGCCGGCUGAGCGUGUACCGGCGGCGGGGCACAAGGCGAUGAUGGCUGCCGGCGACGAGGGCGAGUGAAGGAGGGGAGGUCGCCGGAAAAAAGCCGGUACUUACUCCUCCUCUUCUUGGCGGCUGGCCCUGCUGUUUUUUUUUUGUUUGUUUGUUUUUUUCCUGUAGCUUUGAUUUCACAGGAAGCGGAUUGAUUUCGUUUGGGGAUCCCUAGUUGAUAACUGGUGAAUCGAUGGGCUGGAGUAAAUAAUUGCCUCAUCAAAAAUCAGGGCUCAAAUCUCUCUGUAUUGUUACAUACUCUGUGCUAAGCUCCCCAAAAAUGGCCCAUCUCGAAUUAACUAUUAUCAGGGUCGUUGUGGCAAUUAGCUGGGGGAAGGGUAAAAGGGAGAAGUGAACCAGACAAGUUCGAUGGAUAUCCAGAGUUAGACCCACUUACAUCCCUCCCUGUCUGCAUAUAAUUAUUGGAAUUCUUGAAUUAGUUGGUAGUGCAGAUCAAGGUAAUUUCAUAUGCCAUGCAAAUGUGAUUUUUGCAUGACAUGUACUGUGGAAUUUAUUGACAAACUUCUAUAUUUAUCAAAAAAAAAACUUCUUAAAAUAGAAAACCAACCAUCGAGACAGAUAGACAAAUAAGUCAAACAACAGUUUGCUACAUGACAUAAAAGAUUAAUUACAAAACCAGGAUACAAUCAAACUCUGCAGAUUAAGCAUAAACAAGAUAAACAGACCAGGAUUGAGCUUACAUCUGCAUAGCUGCAUAUGCUGAACCUCAGCUAAAAGUAGCUAACAUGAUAGAAAAAAUAGAAAUAUGUCUUCUUUCCAAAACAAAAUAUAGAAAUAUGCAUGCCACCAAACGAUUUGAUUUAUCUGUGUGAUUCGUGGCAGUUACUUAUUUGAACGGACCAUCAGUCAGUCAACUUCAUCUGACCCAUAUAGACAUUCUGACUUAUUCAUUGACUCAAUCUCAGGCCACACCUCAAUUUCCAAGCUUGGACGACGUUUCCUUUCACUAUUGCUGCAUCUCAGGCCCAGUGAAACCAUCUUUACAGCAUCCUGUAUAGACGUG